UCCUCUGAUGAUUUUGCCUGGUGUUU
This 26-nucleotide non-coding RNA is filed under the name Homo sapiens (human). Lineage: Eukaryota; Metazoa; Chordata; Mammalia; Primates; Hominidae. The record is from RNAcentral.